AGAGGGUGCGAGCGUUAAUCGGGAUUUACUGGGGCGUAAAGCGUGCGUAGGCGGCUUUUUAAGUCGGAUGUGAAAUCCCUGAGCUUAACUUAGGGAAUUGCAUUCGAUACUGGGAAGCUAGAGUAUGGGAGAGGAUGGUAGAAUUCCAGGUGUAGCGGUGAAAUGCGUAGAGAUCUGGAGGAAUACCGAUGGCGAAGGCAGCCAUCUGGCCUAAUACUGACGCUGAGGUACGAAAGCAUGGGGAGCAAACAGGAUUAGAUACCCUGGUAGUCCAUGCCGUAAACGAUGUCUACUAGCCGUUGGGGCCUUUGAGGCUUUAGUGGUGCAGCUAACGCGAUAAGUAGACCGCCUGGGGAGUACGGUCGCAAGACUA
Molecule: ribosomal RNA, 373 nt
Filed under: uncultured organism
Description: partial 16S ribosomal RNA
Rfam family: Bacterial small subunit ribosomal RNA
Source: RNAcentral